UACGUAGGGGGCAAGCGUUGUCCGGAUUUAUUGGGCGUAAAGAGCGUGUAGGCGGUCAGGUAGGUCGGUUGUGAAAACUGGAGGCUCAACCUCGAGACGUCGGUUGAAACCACCUGGCUAGAGUCCGGAAGAGGAGAGUGGAAUUCCCGGUGUAGCGGUGAAAUGUGCAGAUAUCGGGAAGAACACCCGUGGCGAAGGCGGCUCUCUGGGACGGUACUGACGCUGAGACGCGAAAGCGUGGGGAGCGAACAGG
This 253-nucleotide ribosomal RNA is filed under the name uncultured bacterium. Its description in RNAcentral is "partial 16S ribosomal RNA". It matches the Rfam family "Bacterial small subunit ribosomal RNA", at positions 524 to 776 of the family's 1533-position model. The record is from RNAcentral.